CCUCGGGAGGCAGCAGUGAGGAAUAUUGGACAAUGGACGAAAGUCUGAUCCAGCCAUGCCGCGUGCAGGAUGACGGCCCUAUGGGUUGUAAACUGCUUUUAUACAGGAAGAAACACUCCCACGUGUGGGGGCUUGACGGUACUGUACGGAUAAGGAUCGGCUAACUCCGUGCCAGCAGCCGCGGUAAUACGGAGGAUCCAAGCGUUAUCCGGAAUUAUUGGGUUUAAAGGGUCCGCAGGCGGUCUAUUAAGUCAGAGGUGAAAUCUUGCAGCUCAACUGUAAAAUUGCCUUUGAUACUGGUAGACUUGAGUCAUUGUGAAGUGGUUAGAAUGUGUGGUGUAGCGGUGAAAUGCAUAGAUAUCACACAGAAUACCAAUUGCGAAGGCAGAUCACUAACAAUGUACUGACGCUCAUGGACGAAAGCGUGGGGAGCGAACAGGAUUAGAUACCCUGGUAGUCCACGCCGUAAACGAUGGAUACUAACUGUUCGACCUUCGGGUUGAGUGGUUAAGCGAAAGUGAUAAGUAUCCCACCUGGGGAGUACGCUCGCAAGAGUGAAACUCAAAGGAAUUGACGG
This 577-nucleotide ribosomal RNA is filed under the name uncultured bacterium. RNAcentral describes it as "bacterial SSU rRNA". It matches the Rfam family "Bacterial small subunit ribosomal RNA", at positions 339 to 916 of the family's 1533-position model. The record is from RNAcentral.